GUAGGUGAACCUGCGGAAGGAUCAUUAAUGAAUUUUUCUGGCGGACCGGGUCUUGGGCUCGGCUUCGCGAAAGAUUUUUGUAUUUAAAACUUUUCCACCCGUGAAAAAAAAAAAUUGUAAAUUGUAAAAUAAAAAAAAAAAGAUCACUUUCAACAACGGAUCUCUUGGCUCUC
This 173-nucleotide unclassified non-coding RNA is filed under the name rhizosphere metagenome. RNAcentral's name for it is "partial ribosomal RNA internal transcribed spacer region". The record is from RNAcentral.